UACAAAUGCACUUGGUCAGUCUGCACAUAACACAAGUUCUGCAUAUUUUCUGCAAUGUUUGCAACCUUCAUAAUCCAUUACAAACCAAAGAAAAGCAUUUUAUUAUUUAGAUAAUAUUAAAUCACCUCAUAUGAUUUAAUUUUGAGUAAUCUCAAAACUGUCAUCAUUGUCAGAGUUACCUCUGUCAUUGUGUUUGGGAUGUGCAUCUCUCAAUUACGCCUGGUAAGAGAGUUUUGUCAGAGAAGGUAUGGAAUAUGAUCAAAUAAACAAUCAAAUGUCUUUCUUUGUUGUUUUAUUGUGUGAUGAAGGUGGCUAGCAUUGAAAAAAAAUUAAUAGCCCACGUAAGCUUUGCUGGUAACUUAAGGGAGUAAUAAGUUAUAGUUAUAAUUUCACAUAUGAAAUCAUCACUACUGGCCAAUAUCUUAUAUAUAAAGGGGAAAAAAAACAACCUUAAAUUCUCUGACUUUGAGUUCUUGAUAUAAAUAAUGCUUAUUCAUUACAUUUUCAAAAAAAUUCAAAUAAAGAAAUACUAAAUUUACUUAACUUAUUUUUUUUUUUGACUUGAGAUUUUUUCAUUACAAGUACUUUUUUUCAUUGAAUUUUCACCUAAAAUAUCAGACUGAGUGUACAGUUGUUGUUUUUACAUCUUCAAUUUUCAGAAUUCCUCAUACUAUUAUUCAUAUUACUGUGGGUGUGAUUUCACCAACAUUAGGGCACAGAUAGAAUUCGUAAUGCUCCAGUAUAGAGACAUGGGUAAUGGACAUCAUAUUGUUACAACGUAAUUGUCAAAGAUUUCUGACCAUGCCCGGAUAUCUAAAAAAAAAAAAAAACAACCCUGGAAUUUUACUAAAAUUUUGACUGCUUGAAAAAAACAAAACCCAAGCUAAAGUUCAAUAUUUUUUCAAGAAAGCUUGCUCAUAAGUAUGCAUGACAUUAAGUUCACUUAUUCAUUAUUUUUGUAUAUGAGACUGCAUGGUUUAGAUUGAAGUGAAAAUGUUACAGAGUUUUUAAAGAAAGAAGAAAAUAGAGUCCAUUAACAUUUAGAGAUAUUCAAUUGUUGGACUGAGGAAUAUUCUUGCUAUCAACAUGGUAUAUCAGUGACAAGUAUUAAUGAUUAAUACGUCUCAAUAAAAACCUGUGUCAGACAUCAGUUUAACUAGAACUGUAUUGAAGGUAAACAAUAUGGCUAUACUGCUACUCUCAUUAAAAAUCAUAGAACCUUGUAAUCAUUCCAGUUUGAGCACUGUGCAGCACUAGGUACUGUAAUUUUCAUAUUUGUUACACAGCUUUCUCACUCUGACAACUGCCUGAAAAGCUCCACAGAUUGGCUGAAUUAGCUAAAUAUGAUAAAUAUAUAUUUUUUGACAAUCCCUGUGAUCUCUAGGUAACCAACAAAAAUAAACAUAAUAAUUCAAUCUUCCUGAGAAAUUCUCAUUACUCUGUACAUGUCUCUAUAUUCCAGCUCAUGUGCUCUCCCUCCUUAAUUCAACAAUGUAACUUUUCUAGUAUCAAAUAAAAACAGACCAUCCCUUACACAACCAUUAUCAACCAGGAAGUGUGGACAAUGGCAUAUCUAUAAAGCUUUACAGUCUCUUGCAAAAACUGUGUUACAUAAAUUCCUAUGACCUUGUACCUAGCUAUAUCUAAGUCUUGUGAUUAUCAUUACACGUACAUGUAUAUAGAAAAGAUAUGCGUGAGUGACCUUUAGUGUUCCUAUCAGUCUCAAGGAAUCAGGUCAGACAGGAGUAUACCUGUAUCAAGGUGUAAAAGUUAGAAACAGGUGUUAAUGACCAUGUCUGUCAGUAACGGAUGAACAGAGCUGGCCUGUUCUGCUCAAACUGGAUAUAAAACUCAGGGUCAGACGGCUCUAAGGCUGAAGGAUGUUUCUGUGUGAACUGAGGAAUACAUUGGACUUAUAUAUUGAGAAGAUAGAGUUUCGACUGCAUGAGGACUAUGUAUUGAGGAGACAGAGUACUAUAAGUUGAGGUGAUAUAUAGUGUUUUGAGCAAGGACUAUAAGUUCAGAAGAUUUGAGUUUUGACUGCAGACUAUAUGUUGGGGAGAUAUAUAGAGUUUUGACCGAGAAUAUUAUGUAGAGGAGAUAUAUAUAGAGUUUUGACCAAGGACAACAUGUUGAGGAGAUUGAGUUUUGACUGUGGACUAUAUGUUGAGGAGAUUGCCCAAUAUAUCGUGCUGCUCUCUCUACUGAAAUAGACUGCACCUUCUUUUCACCAGGGCAACGUGGCUAAUGCUGCAAGAGCUCCAGAGAAAAUCCUACGAAGACAGCAGCUAAGAUGCACAACUCAGGUUCAUUGUUAAUGUGUCUUAUUGGUAAACAUUUCUGCCACCUAGAAUAUUGUAAAAGUCAGUGAUCCAUGCCAUAUAUUUCCUGGUGCACAGUUUGAAAUGCCAGGUGCUUUUACAAUCUUCACACUCUCAUUUUAUGCAGUUACCAUAUUCAUCCUAUUGAGCACCCCAGGCUCUUAGAAAAUUGGAAAAGAAGGGUGGUUGAAAUAAUGCUGUGUGUUCCAGUGAAAUUUAGACUUUUGAGAAAUGUUUCAAUAAACAUCAAAUUCUAAAUGAGUUAUGUUGUACUUUCUUUUACGAUAACAUAACUCAGGUCUUGAAUAUAUUUAUUUAAAUUUCAAAUCAAUAAAACUACAAAAAAGAUAAAGGAGAUGAAAAUAAUAAGUUUAGAAAAAAUGUCAGAAACGUUGCAAAUGACCUUAAAAUAAAUCGCUGUGUAAACAGUAGUAAAGAUAAACACUGUACAUGGGUGUCAACCUUGACAGCUCAGUGGUUAGAGCACAGUGAAUAGUAAUACAGGGAUCCCAGGUUCAAAUCCCAGUCCAGCCAUAAAUCUUCUUCUUUCCUACUACAGAUAUAAGAGCCUUGGCCAACCCAGUACAUGCAUAUAUUAUACAUGAACCCUGGCAGGGGUAAACUUAUUGUCAGUCUUCAAGGUCAAAGACUCUUUAAAGAGGAAUGAAUGAAGUGAAUUGUUGGAGAGUGGGCAUAUAUGCCUCAAUAACUUAGUGGUUGGAGCACAGUGACUAUAGUAAUGCAGGGAUCCUGGUUUCAAUUCCCUGUCCCACCAAAUAUUUUCUCCUUAAUUCCUACUUGUAACUGUCAUGGAAUCUAAAGAUAUCACAUCGUAAAAAAUAUCUUCAUACCUCAAGGGAAUGACACGAUAAUUAUUGAAAUACUAUUGGUUGAACAAAUCACGUGACUGAGCCUACAAAUAUCAUAUACCCCCUCCAUCCAUGUGUCUCAGGACGUGGUGUAUCCUACGGGGGACAUCAUCUAUACUUUCCAUGAACUCUACAUCAAGUUAAACUGUGACGAUUGUUACGUCAUAAUGCAUCCAUGUCAUUUCCUGUACAUUGUGAGGUGCAGAGGGAUUUUUUUAUACAUGAAUUUCUUUAGAAUAAGUUUAAUCAUUAACCGUGUAGGUAAUCAGCAUCCAGGGAGAAAGCAAACAUAAUAAAGGUUAUCAUCUCACUUUAUUUGUUGUUGCUUGUAUAUUCUAAUACGUUGACGGAGCGGUGCUUUUGUUCGGGUUAGAUCAGCCAUAUCUAAAUGAACGGAUACAGGAUUUUUUCUUGAAAUUUCAAUCGCAUUUUCGCAGUCUAGUUUUGUUUCGAUAUAAUAAACAAUUUAUUGCAUGAAUGUUCGUGAGAUAUGAAGAUUCACUCACCCCACAAAAAUUAUAUUCCCCUCCGACAUUGCCUUCAGGAAAUAUGAAUUUUCUGGGGUGAAUAAAUCUUCAUAUCUCCCUUAGUAUCGUGUAAUAAAUGUAUAAUAUAGGUCAAAAAAAUUCAGAUACUGGGACUUACUGCUGUUGACAGGUGUAUAUGUAGAUUCUACAGAUCAACUUCUGGGAAUUUGAGCAUUGUUUUGAUGUCAUUUUCAUUAAUCUAAGAUACAAAAAUAGGCCUGCAGCAUUAAGCUGAUCGAGAUCAUCUAUUUAUUUAUUUUACAUUUUAUUUUUUUUUUUGGUCUGACACGCAGAAAAAAAAAACCGCUGAGGCUCCCAGUGAAGGUUGGAAUUGGACUAAAACACGUCGAAGAAUCAAGUCGACACACCCAUAAUCCGUCAGUUUGUCUCUUAUCCGUUAUACAUACGUUUAUACAUAAUUCACUGACCGAUAAGAUUCUAUAAUUAAGUUUUGACAAUGUAUAUAAUGUACUGUGUCCAAUAUCUCGGAUGCAUGCCUUACCUUGGAAGGUCACCUGAAUUUGAAGGUGUGUGGCUAACGCGCGAUGUGAUUGGUUGAAUUCAGUCACUAGCCAUGACGGAUUAAAGUGGACCGUAACAAAUAAACAAAUCAACCUGUGUCCCUAGAAUACCUUUGACCAGCAAAACGUCCGUGUUUAUCUGAUUGUUAAUCAGUUACCCGAUCCCGAUCAGAAAUCACAUUGGUAUUGAUGUGUACUUUUAAUGGGGUGUUGCUAAAACGCGGACCGGAACGGAAAAUACUGCAUGCAUUGAUAUUAUGACUAAGUCAAUCAAGGCUUAUUAUGAACAAGGAAAUCAGAUGUUACAGAGAGAACAGGAAGUCAUCGUUUUAAAUAAUUCAUAAGAUAUACUGAUGCCUAUAAUUAUGCUACAUCUUGACUUGCUAUGAAAGAUAUGUUAGCCUCGUGGGUACAUGCACGUGUCCUACCCCUUUCCAUGGCCUUAUAUUUAUAGAUUAGUUCUAAACGAUUUUUUAUGAGCCUAUCACGGCUACCCAUGUCCUAAAUCAUAAUGUAACGGUUAUGCAAGAAAAUUCCUUUGGAGUGUUUCCGGUUAUGAGUUAAAAGAGAACAACACGCCGCUUCGACAGAUGGAAAGAACUCAGCACAGGUGUGGAUAUAAAGGAUGCGUCAAAGUUUACCAUCAAUUAAAAGGGGAAACUGACUUUGCAUAUGAAAAUUCAACUUAGCUUUAUUGACAUCGGUCACUUACUUGUUUUGCUUUUGUUGUUUUUGUUUGGUAUUUAACAUUAAAGAGAUAUUACUCGAG
Long non-coding RNA from Ostrea edulis (European flat oyster), 5007 nucleotides. RefSeq lists it as uncharacterized. The record is from RefSeq and is a predicted model, not a curated record. The transcript is spliced from 3 exons. NCBI's taxonomy places the organism in Eukaryota, Metazoa, Mollusca, Bivalvia, Ostreida, Ostreidae.